UACAGAGGUCUCAACCGUUGUUCGGAUUCAUUGGGCGUAAAGGGUGCGUAGGCGGCGGGGCAAGUCAGGUGUGAAAUCUCGGGGCUCAACCCCGAAACUGCACUUGAUACUGCCUUGCUCGAGUACUGGAGAGGAGACUGGAAUUUACGGUGUAGCAGUGAAAUGCGUAGAUAUCAAGAGGAACACCUGAGGUGAAGACGGGUUGCUAGGCUGACACUGACGCUGAGGCGCGAAAGCCAGGGGAGCAAACGGG
RNAcentral lists this ribosomal RNA (253 nucleotides) under uncultured bacterium. RNAcentral describes it as "partial 16S ribosomal RNA". It matches the Rfam family "Bacterial small subunit ribosomal RNA", at positions 524 to 776 of the family's 1533-position model. The record is from RNAcentral.